Molecule: ribosomal RNA, 902 nt
Filed under: uncultured archaeon
Lineage: Archaea
Description: bacterial SSU rRNA
Rfam family: Archaeal small subunit ribosomal RNA
Source: RNAcentral
CUGCCGGAGGCUACCGCUAUUGGAGUUCGAUUAAGCCAUGCGAGUCGCGAGUCUUAGGGACUCGGCGUACCGCUCAGUAACACGUGGGUAACCUGCCCUAUGCUGGGGGAUAACCUCGGGAAACUGAGAAUAAUACCCCAUAGUUCACCACGCCUGGAACGGUUGGUGGACCAAAGCUCCGGCGGCAUAGGAUGGGCCUGCGGCGUAUCAGGUUGUAGGGGGUGUAAUGUACCCUCUAGCCCUCUACGCGUACGGGUGUUGAGAGACAUCGCCCGGAGAUGGAUUCUGAGACACGAAUCCAGACCCUACGGGGUGCAGCAGGCGCGAAAACUUGGCAAUGCGAGAAAUCGUGACCAGGGAACUCCAAGUGCAUCGGGUAAGACCGAUGCUUUUCUUGACUCUUCAAAGGUCUUGGAAUAAGGGGUGGGUAAGGACGGUGCCAGCCGCCGCGGUAAUACCGGCGCCCCAAGUGGUAGUCGCUUUUAUUGGGCCUAAAACGUCCGUAGCCGGUCUGGUACAUUCGUGGGUAAAUCAACCAGCUCAACUGGUUGAAUUCUGCGAGCACGGCCAGACUUGGGACCGGGAGAGGUGUGGGGUACUCUCAGGGUAGGGGUAAAAUCCUGUCAUCCUGAGAGGACCACCUGUUGCGAAGGCGCCACACUAGAACGGAUCCGACGGUCAGGGACGAAGCCUAGGGGCACGAACCGGAUUAGAUACCCGGGUAGUCCUAGGUGUAAACGCUGUGGACUUGAUGUUGGGGGCGCUCCGAGCGCACUCAGUGUCGAAGCGAAGGUGAUAAGUCCACUGCCUGGGGAGUACGGUCGCAAGGCUGAAACUUAAAGGAAUUGGCGGGGGAGCACCGCAACCUGAGGAUUGUGCGGUUUAAUUGGAUCAACGCCGGG